AGAGUUUGAUCAUGGCUCAGGAUGAACGCUAGCUACAGGCUUAACACAUGCAAGUCGAGGGGAAACGACAUCGAAAGCUUGCUUUUGAUGGGCGUCGACCGGCGCACGGGUGAGUAACGCGUACCCAACCUGCCCACCACUUGGGGAUAACCUUGCGAAAGUAAGACUAAUACCCGAUGACGUCUCUAGAAGACAUCUGAAAGAGAUUAAAGAUUUAUCGGUGAUGGAUGGGGAUGCGUCUGAUUAGCUUGUUGGCGGGGUAACGGCCACCAAGGCGACGAUCAGUAGGGGUUCUGAGAGGAAGGUCCCCCANAUUGGAACUGAGACACGGUCCAAACUCCUACGGGAGCA
Molecule: ribosomal RNA, 351 nt
Filed under: uncultured bacterium
Lineage: Bacteria
Description: bacterial SSU rRNA
Rfam family: Bacterial small subunit ribosomal RNA
Source: RNAcentral